AAACAAUAAAUGGUCAAUCAACCUUUGGAGACAGUGAAUUCAAUUUGGACACAAAACAUUUCAAAAAAUUUUGGACAAAAAAAAAGUUUCUUGUUUUAUUUUUUUAGGCCAAGGGACAAUAAUUCUUGUAUGAUCAAUCUCAUACAGGUUCAUGUUCAGCUUCUUAACAAUUACAAGGUAAAAUUUCUCUUAUUAGAAAAGGAAAAUAUUUUACAACACGAGUUCUCAUUGUUUGAAAAAAAAAAAGAGGGGUUUCUAUUAAUUUUUUAUAGAGUUCAUACCAAUUAAAAUUAGUUAUAUACAACAAUUUAUCUACUAAAGACGGACAAGUAAUAAACUCUUGCCAUAAAGCAAUUUAUAUUUUUUACUAAUUUGAUUUGUACAAAUUGCUUAUUUACUUCCUUCCCCUAAUUGAAAAAACGAUGAAAGGUAUACUCCCAUUUUAGUUUAUAUGAUAAACUACUAUUUAUUACUUUUUAAUAAAUUCUUGAAAAGUUCACUUAUAUAUUUGAUUUGCCCAUGGUUGAUAUUCACUACAUAGGUUACGAAUUUCUUUUUUUUUUUUUAAGUUCAAGAGAGACUCUAGCCUUAUAAGAAAGAAGAUGGGUACUUUCUUUUUUUAUCGGACACGAUAAAUUUUAUUGUAUACACAUUCCUACUUUAUAUUAGGAUGAGAAGGGAACCCAAAGGAGUUAAAAGAGAAAUCUGCGAAGACUGAACUAUCAUCGGUCCAAAUAGGUGCCUAUGCACCCCUAACAAAAUUUUCCAGGAAUAAGAUGGGUACUUGGGAGUCAUCUGUUUCAUGUCUAUACUAGGUAAACUUCUUUUCACCUAGUGACCUGGUUAAGAAAUUUUUUCCUUUCUUUUUCUUGAGUAAUAAUUCUGUUUUUUCUUACAAACAAUGAAAUUAAUCUUGCAAGCAAUAUAACGAAUUCAUUUUCUUAUAUCACCAAGCAUCAUGUAGAGUCGUGGCUAAUGUUGAAAUCUCAAAAACUAGAGAUUUUGGAUUUUAAUUCAUUGCUUCCUCCCCC
Molecule: long non-coding RNA, 1031 nt
Filed under: Coffea arabica (coffee)
Lineage: Eukaryota; Viridiplantae; Streptophyta; Magnoliopsida; Gentianales; Rubiaceae
Description: long non-coding RNA (CARA_LNC007880)
Source: RNAcentral